ACGGUACAACGAGUCGCAAGACCGCGAGGUUUAGCAAAUCUCUUAAAGCCGUUCUCAGUUCGGAUUGUAGGCUGCAACUCGCCUACAUGAAGUCGGAAUCGCUAGUAAUCGCGGAUCAGCAUGCCGCGGUGAAUACGUUCCCGGGCCUUGUACACACCGCCCGUCACACCAUGAGAGUUUGUAACACCCAAAGCCGGUGGGGUAACCUUUUGGGGCCAGCCGUCUAAGGUGGGAUCAAUGAUUGGGGUGAAGUCGUAACAAGGUACC
RNAcentral lists this ribosomal RNA (267 nucleotides) under uncultured bacterium. Its description in RNAcentral is "partial 16S ribosomal RNA". It matches the Rfam family "Bacterial small subunit ribosomal RNA", at positions 1234 to 1500 of the family's 1533-position model. The record is from RNAcentral.